Molecule: non-coding RNA, 1466 nt
Organism: Pelodiscus sinensis (Chinese soft-shelled turtle)
Lineage: Eukaryota; Metazoa; Chordata; Testudines; Trionychidae
Source: RefSeq, a predicted model, not a curated record
UGACCUAAUAUUGAAUGUGGUGAAUUACAGGCUGGAGACCGCAAUGUUUGUGAUGCCAUGACAGAGGAUGGAUUGAUCUACAGGUUGUGGCUUUUCCUCAUCUGUGUUGGAGUGUGUUCACCUCCUGAGCCACCUCAGGAAUUAUUCAUUCCUGAAUUUACCUUUGCAUAACUGGGAAGAACUUUCUACACAGACAAGGUCAGCUUCCAGACUUCCAUUGGACAACACAGGAUAGGAAGGAGGUGAGCAACAGAAGAACAGGAAGGCACUGAGGCAUAGUCAGAGCCAAUGUCAAAUGGACACUCCUUCUGAUGACAGUUCUCAGAAAAUCAAAUGAAUCAUCCAUUUGGGAAGGGAGUUCACUACCUGCCUGAUACUGAAUGGAUCAGCUGAGCCCUGCUCUUCCCUACCCAUAGGAAGGCGAGCUCACAGGCAAAUUGAAGGACACAUGAGCUCCCUUGGCUAUACCUCAGUAUUAGCAAUGCACGGACUUAUGAUGCUGAUGAGACCUCAGGUGUUGAUAUGGAGGAAUUUGUUAUGGGAAGAUAAGCUGCACAUGCCAUUCGCUGUUGGAAAAUGUAAAGUAAUGAGCAUGGCAGCUGAGGCAGCAGCAAUGGGAUUCUGCGCGAUGAGGUCCGGGAUGAGGUCACACUGCUGCGAAGGGAAAGAAAAGACAGCAGUCAGCUGGAGCGCUGGCCCUGCACAGAGUUUAUGAUAUUGUUUGCCAGACUGGGACUGGAGGGUCAUUUCUCCCCAGGAUAAAGUUGCAUUGUUUCUCCACUGCAGUUAGCUGGAUUUAAAAAACACAUUUGUAUAAACAACCCCCUCCUAUUUGUAUAAAGAACCCACUCCGUCCCUUAAAGUUGCUGACUACAGGAAGGGGGAAAGUAAAAUAAAUGGAUCAGUUAUUUAUUACAAUAAUGCAGGUCCCCACCCUCUAUGUUUUUCUCAGGACUGGAAGCUAUGCUGAAAUCCCACCCCCUGUACAAAAUAGAUUUAAUAGGGAUUUUCAAGGAACAUGAGCCAAUAUGGGCUGCACUGGUUAAGUAAUAUUUUAAGUAGCUAUCGAUUAAGUAGCUAUAGCAGCAUUUUAUUGGAGCCAUUUCUCAGCUGAGAAAGAGAGGAAUUUAUUUCAGUUCUGUUUCAAGCAAUAGACAUCCCAUCCCAUCCCAUCCACCGAGAAACUUCCAAACAACACUUUAUCUCCAAGUACUUUUCCCAUUAAUCUCUCCCAUACCCCAGAAGGCUGGUGAGCCAACGCUAUAGGUGGAGAAACUGAGUCAUGGACAUUGUGUGACUUGUCUAAUGGGACUGCAUGGGAAUCAGUUAGAACCCAGGAACAUGUGACCUCCAGGCCUUUGUGUUAGAAUAGAACACGAUUUGUAUUCUUCUACUUUCCUGAGGUAAGGAGUAGAGGAAAUAUGGAAACCAAUAAUAGUACAUCUCCAUGCAGGGGUGGAUAUAGG